AUUGAACGCUGGCGGCAGGCCUAACACAUGCAAGUCGAACGGCAGCACAGAAGAGCUUGCUCUUUGGGUGGCGAGUGGCGGACGGGUGAGUAAUGUCUGGGAAACUGCCCGAUGGAGGGGGAUAACUACUGGAAACGGUAGCUAAUACCGCAUAACGUCGCGAGACAAAGUGGGGGACCUUCGGGCCUCACACCAUCGGAUGUGCCCAGAUGGGAUUAGCUAGUAGGUGGGGUAAUGGCUCACCUAGGCGACGAUCCCUAGCUGGUCUGAGAGGAUGACCAGCCACACUGGAACUGAGACACGGUCCAGACUCCUACGGGAGGCAGCAGUGGGGAAUAUUGCACAAUGGGCGCAAGCCUGAUGCAGCCAUGCCGCGUGUAUGAAGAAGGCCUUCGGGUUGUAAAGUACUUUCAGCGGGGAGGAAGGCGGUGAGGUUAAUAACCUCGCCGAUUGACGUUACCCGCAGAAGAAGCACCGGCUAACUCCGUGCCAGCCGCCGCGGUAA
This 505-nucleotide ribosomal RNA is filed under the name uncultured bacterium. RNAcentral's name for it is "partial 16S ribosomal RNA". It matches the Rfam family "Bacterial small subunit ribosomal RNA", at positions 29 to 523 of the family's 1533-position model. The record is from RNAcentral.